Molecule: ribosomal RNA, 207 nt
Filed under: uncultured bacterium
Lineage: Bacteria
Description: partial 16S ribosomal RNA
Rfam family: Bacterial small subunit ribosomal RNA
Source: RNAcentral
CGCGUAGGCGGUAAGAUAAGUCGAGUGUUAAAAACCCGAGCUCAACUUGGGGGUGCAUUCGAAACUAUCUUACUAGAGUACAGUAGAGGAGAGCGGAAUUUCCGGUGUAGCGGUGAAAUGCGUAGAUAUCGGAAGGAACACCAGUGGCGAAGGCGGCUCUCUGGACUGAAACUGACGCUGAGGCGCGAAAGCGUGGGGAGCAAACAG